UACGUAGGGGGCAAGCGUUGUCCGGAAUCAUUGGGCGUAAAGAGCGCGUAGGCGGCCCAGUAAGUCCGCUCUGAAAGUCAGGGGCUCAACCCUCGAAUGCCGGUGGAUACUGUCGGGCUUGAGUACGGGAGAGGCGAGUGGAAUUCCUGGUGUAGCGGUGAAAUGCGCAGAUAUCAGGAGGAACACCGAUUGCGAGGGCAGCUCGCUGGAACGUUACUGACGCUGAGACGCGAAAGCGUGGGGAGCAAACAGG
Molecule: ribosomal RNA, 253 nt
Filed under: uncultured bacterium
Lineage: Bacteria
Description: partial 16S ribosomal RNA
Rfam family: Bacterial small subunit ribosomal RNA
Source: RNAcentral